RNAcentral lists this ribosomal RNA (265 nucleotides) under uncultured bacterium. RNAcentral's name for it is "partial 16S ribosomal RNA". It matches the Rfam family "Bacterial small subunit ribosomal RNA", at positions 793 to 1055 of the family's 1533-position model. The record is from RNAcentral.
GUCCACGCCGUAAACUAUGGAUGCUAGCUAUUAUUCACAUCGACCUGAGUAGUAGCGUAGUAAACGCGUUAAGCAUCCCGCCUGGGGAGUACGGUCGCAAGAUUAAAACUCAAAGGAAUUGACGGGGACCCCGCACAAGCGGUGGAGCGUGUUGUUUAAUUCGAGGCUAAGCGAAGAACCUUACCCAGGUUUGACAUCCUGCGAAAUUUGCCGAAAGGCGAAUGUGCCCUCGGGAACGCAGUGACAGGUGAUGCAUGGCCGUCGU